This 426-nucleotide ribosomal RNA is filed under the name uncultured bacterium. RNAcentral's name for it is "bacterial SSU rRNA". It matches the Rfam family "Bacterial small subunit ribosomal RNA", at positions 354 to 796 of the family's 1533-position model. The record is from RNAcentral.
GUAGGGAAUAUUGCACAAUGGGCGAAAGCCUGAUGCAGCAACGCCGCGUGUACGAUGAAGGUCUUCGGAUCGUAAAGUACUUUUCAGGGAGAUGAGAAAGGACAGUACCCCUGGAAUAAGUCUCGGCUAACUACGUGCCAGCAGCCGCGGUAAAACGUAGGAGGCGAGCGUUAUCCGGAUUUACUGGGUGUAAAGCGCGUGCAGGCGGUUUGAUAAGUUGGAUGUGAAAGCUCCUGGCUCAACUGGGAGAGGUCGUUCAAAACUAUCAGACUAGAGAGUGGUAGAGGAAAGUGGAAUUCCCGGUGUAGUGGUGAAAUGCGUAGAUAUCGGGAGGAACACCAGUGGCGAAGGCGGCUUUCUGGACCAUUUCUGACGCUCAGACGCGAAAGCUAGGGUAGCAAACGGGAUUAGAUACCCGUGUAGUCC